ACCAACGCUGGCGGCGUGCGUUAAACAUGCAAGUCGAACGGUCGUAGUGGGGUGAAAGCUCUAGUGCGGUAGUGGCGGACGGCUGAGUAGCACGUGGCUAACCUGCCCGUUUGUGGGGGAUAGCGUCUGGAAACGGACGGUAAUCCCGCAUAAGGUCUUUUAUGGAGGGGUAGAAGAAGAAAGGCUGUGUGGUAAGGCGCACGGUUGCGAACGGAGGGGGCCGCGGCCCAUCAGGUAGUUGGAGUGGUAAGGGCACACCAAGGCGAAGACGGGUGGCCGGUCUGAGAGGAUGGACGGCCAGACGGGGACUGGGAACGGCCCCGACGCCUACGGGCGGCAGCAGUUAGGGAUCUUGCGCAAUGGACGAAAGUCUGACGCAGCGACGCCGCGUGAGGGAAGACGGCUCUCGGGUUGUAAACCUCUUUUCGUGAGGGCGAGGUAGGACGGUACUCACGGGAUAAGCACCGGCUAACUCCGU
RNAcentral lists this ribosomal RNA (478 nucleotides) under uncultured bacterium. Its description in RNAcentral is "bacterial SSU rRNA". It matches the Rfam family "Bacterial small subunit ribosomal RNA", at positions 32 to 506 of the family's 1533-position model. The record is from RNAcentral.